Molecule: ribosomal RNA, 255 nt
Filed under: Streptococcus danieliae
Lineage: Bacteria; Bacillati; Bacillota; Bacilli; Lactobacillales; Streptococcaceae
Description: Streptococcus sp. ERD01G Bacterial large subunit ribosomal RNA
Rfam family: Bacterial large subunit ribosomal RNA
Source: Rfam by way of RNAcentral
UGAUAUUGAGUAUCUGUGCCACAUGUACAGGAUAGGUAGGAGCCAAUGAUCUAGGGACGCCAGUUUCUAGUGAGGCGCUGUUGGGAUACUACCCUUGUUGUAUGGCUACUCUAACCCGGAUAGGUGACCCCUAUCGGAGACAGUGUCUGACGGGCAGUUUGACUGGGGCGGUCGCCUCCUAAAAGGUAACGGAGGCGCCCAAAGGUUCCCUCAGACUGGUUGGAAAUCAGUCGCAGAGUGUAAAGGUAUAAGGGA